RNAcentral lists this ribosomal RNA (253 nucleotides) under uncultured bacterium. RNAcentral's name for it is "partial 16S ribosomal RNA". It matches the Rfam family "Bacterial small subunit ribosomal RNA", at positions 524 to 776 of the family's 1533-position model. The record is from RNAcentral.
UACAGAGGGGGCAAGCGUUGUUCGGAAUUACUGGGCGUAAAGGGCGCGUAGGCGGCCUGUUAAGUCGAACGUGAAAUCCCUGGGCUCAACCCAGGAACUGCGUCCGAUACUGGCAGGCUUGAAUUCGGGAGAGGGAUGCGGAAUUCCAGGUGUAGCGGUGAAAUGCGUAGAUAUCUGGAGGAACACCGGUGGCGAAGGCGGCAUCCUGGACCGGCAUUGACGCUGAGGCGCGAAAGCUAGGGGAGCAAACGGG